GGAUGUGAGGACCAUCUAUCACCUCAUUGAUCACCAGGCUGAUUCGGCAGAUCAGGCUGGCUGGGCGGGCGUCCCCUUCCUCCCUCACCACUCCAUGUACAUCCGACCUUCCCCCCAAUAGAGGAGGAGGGUCUUCAGUCAAGGGUACACCAGUAGCUGUGCUCCCCUGCUAGAACCUCCAAACAAGCUCUCAAGAAACCCCUGGAAAUCGUGUGCCAGGCUUACUAUUAGGCAGUCAUAACAGUACGGUAGCAUGUCCCUGUGUUUGC
This 269-nucleotide small nuclear RNA is filed under the name Rattus norvegicus (Norway rat). Its description in RNAcentral is "7SK RNA". It matches the Rfam family "7SK RNA". Rfam says of the family: 7SK was discovered as an abundant small nuclear RNA in the mid-70s but a possible function has only recently been suggested. Two independent studies have found that 7SK RNA binds the CDK9/cyclin T complex (known as elongation factor P-TEFb). The record is from Rfam by way of RNAcentral. Lineage: Eukaryota; Metazoa; Chordata; Mammalia; Rodentia; Muridae.